UACGUAGGGGGCUAGCGUUGUCCGGAUUUAUUGGGCGUAAAGAGCUCGUAGGCGGCUUGUCGCGUCGUCCGUGAAAACUCGGGGCUCAACCCCAAGCUUGCGGUCGAUACGGGCAGGCUAGAGUUCGGUAGGGGAGACUGGAAUUCCUGGUGUAGCGGUGAAAUGCGCAGAUAUCAGGAGGAACACCGGUGGCGAAGGCGGGUCUCUGGGCCGAUACUGACGCUGAGGAGCGAAAGCGUGGGGAGCGAACAGG
This 253-nucleotide ribosomal RNA is filed under the name uncultured bacterium. RNAcentral's name for it is "partial 16S ribosomal RNA". It matches the Rfam family "Bacterial small subunit ribosomal RNA", at positions 524 to 776 of the family's 1533-position model. The record is from RNAcentral.